GCGACGUCAUCCUGGGUUCCGUUUUUGAUCGACAAACCGCUGGGCUUCCCUCGAAGUUGACGGUGGCUGAGUGCCUGACAUUGCGAUCAUACCGACUGUUGUUGUCAUCAGAUAGCUGAACGCGGAACCAUCAGCUGAGACCAGACGUCGCCGAGUAGCUAGCUAACGAUUCGAUUCGGCGGACGGAGUUAGGGCAGGUCGAAGAUCUCGAGGCCGUGUCACGUCAGCUGUCAGUGGGAACAGAGAGGUAGUGUUGGAUGUCACCACGGCGCAGUGUCAGGCGGGAUUUGGUUUGCUAGCAUCGUCCAUCCUGGCAAAUCAAAUGGAGAAGCUCCAGGACCUUAGCCAAUCAGAGCUACAGGAUCUCCUGGACAACCGGACAGGGUGGAGUCUAUGGCUCUGGAGUCUGAUGAGAUUCAGAAUAUUCAGUUGGAGAGAGAGAUGGCACUGGCAGCAAAUCGCAGCCUGGCUGAGCAAAACCUGGACAUGAAGCCUCGCCUGGAGUCUCAGAAGGAGGUGCUGGUGGAGAGAUACUCUCAGCUGGAGGCUGUCAGAGAAACCUACAGACAGCACUGCUCCAUGAGAG
Long non-coding RNA from Lates calcarifer (barramundi perch), 586 nucleotides. RefSeq lists it as uncharacterized. The record is from RefSeq and is a predicted model, not a curated record. The transcript is spliced from 3 exons. NCBI's taxonomy places the organism in Eukaryota, Metazoa, Chordata, Actinopteri, Centropomidae.